AAUAGAUACCCCGGUAGUCCACGCCGUAAACGAUGUGUGCUAGAAGUCGGGAUAACUCGGUUUCGAAGCUAACGCAUUAAGCACACCGCCUGGGGAGUACGGUCGCAAGGCUGAAACUCAAAAGGAAUUGACGGGGACCCGCACAAGUGGUGGAGCAUGUGGUUUAAUUCGAUGCAACGCGAUGAACCUUACCAAGACUUGACAUACUCGGCAAAGCUAUAGAGAUAUAGUGGAGGUUAUCCGAUGUACAGGUGGUGCAUGGUUGUCGUCAGCUCGUGUCGUGAGAUGUUGGGUUAAGUCCCGCAACGAGCGCAACCCCUAUCUUUAUUUGCUAACAUUAAGUUGAGGACUAUAGAGAGACUGCCUACGCAAGUAGGAGGAAGGUGGGGAUGACGUCAAAUCAUCAUGCCCCUUAUGUCUUGGGCUACACACGUGCUACAAUGGCCGGUACAAAGGGCUGCAAACUGGUGACAGUAAGCGAAUCCCAUAAAGCCGGUCUAAGUUCGGAUUGAAGUCUGCAACUCGACUU
RNAcentral lists this ribosomal RNA (529 nucleotides) under uncultured bacterium. Its description in RNAcentral is "bacterial SSU rRNA". It matches the Rfam family "Bacterial small subunit ribosomal RNA", at positions 777 to 1318 of the family's 1533-position model. The record is from RNAcentral.